GGUGAACGCUGGCGGCGUGCUUAAGACAUGCAAGUCGAACGCAGUCUUCGGACUGAGUGGCGCACGGGUGAGUAACACGUAACUGACCUACCCCCAAGUCGCGGAUAACUGGCCGAAAGGUCAGCUAAUACGUGAUGUGAUGUCCCCUUUCUGGGGGGCCAUUAAAGGUUUAUUGCUUGGGGAUGGGGUUGCGUUCCAUCAGCUAGUUGGCGGGGUAAAGGCCCACCAAGGCAACGACGGAUAGCCGGCCUGAGAGGGUGGCCGGCCACAGGGGCACUGAGACACGGGUCCCACUCCUACGGGAGGCAGCAGUUAGGAAUCUUCCACAAUGGGCGAAAGCCUGAUGGAGCGACGCCGCGUGAGGGAUGAAGGUUCUCGGAUCGUAAACCUCUGAAUCAGGGACGAAAGACGCGUAAGCGGGAUGACGGUACCUGAGUAAUAGCACCGGCUAACUCCGUGCCAGCCGCCGCCGUAG
This 475-nucleotide ribosomal RNA is filed under the name uncultured bacterium. RNAcentral's name for it is "partial 16S ribosomal RNA". It matches the Rfam family "Bacterial small subunit ribosomal RNA", at positions 28 to 523 of the family's 1533-position model. The record is from RNAcentral.